Molecule: ribosomal RNA, 553 nt
Filed under: uncultured archaeon
Lineage: Archaea
Description: bacterial SSU rRNA
Rfam family: Archaeal small subunit ribosomal RNA
Source: RNAcentral
UCGGGGUGCGCAGGCGCGAAAACUUUACAAUGCUGGCAACAGCGAUAAGGGGACCUCGAGUGCCAGGAUACAAUCUUGGCUGUCGCGAUGCCUAAAAAGCAUUGCAUAGCAAGGGCCGGGCAAGACCGGUGCCAGCCGCCGCGGUAACACCGGCGGCUCGAGUGGUAACCGCUAUUAUUGGGUCUAAAGGGUCUGUAGCCGGCCGGAUAAGUCUUUUGGGAAAUCCAGCUGCUCAACAGUUGGGCUUUCAGAAGAUACUGUUCGGCUCGAGACCGGGAGAGGUGAGAGGUACUUCAGGGGUAGGGGUGAAAUCUUGUAAUCCUUGAAGGACCACCAGUGGCGAAGGCGUCUCACCAGAACGGAUCUGACGGCAAGGGACGAAAGCUAGGGGCACGAACCGGAUUAGAUACCCGGGUAGUCCUAGCCGUAAACGAUACUCGCUAGGUGUCAGCCACGGUGCGACCGUGGUUGGUGCCGUAGGGAAGCCGUGAAGCGAGCCACCUGGGAAGUACGGCCGCAAGGCUGAAACUUAAAGGAAUUGGCGGGGGAGCAC